CCUACGGGAGGCAGCAGUGAGGAAUAUUGGUCAAUGGACGAGAGUCUGAACCAGCCAAGUAGCGUGAAGGAUGACUGCCCUAUGGGUUGUAAACUUCUUUUAUAUGGGAAUAAAACAGGGUAUGCAUACCCUCUUGUAUGUACCAUAUGAAUAAGGAUCGGCUAACUCCGUGCCAGCAGCCGCGGUAAUACGGAGGAUCCGAGCGUUAUCCGGAUUUAUUGGGUUUAAAGGGAGCGUAGGUGGAUGGUUAAGUCAGUUGUGAAAGUUUGCGGCUCAACCGUAAAAUUGCAGUUGAAACUGGCAGUCUUGAGUACAGUAGAGGUGGGCGGAAUUCGUGGUGUAGCGGUGAAAUGCUUAGAUAUCACGAAGAACUCCGAUUGCGAAGGCAGCUUACUGGACUGCAACUGACACUGAUGCUCGAAAGUGUGGGUAUCAAACAGGAUUAGAUACCCUGGUAGUC
RNAcentral lists this ribosomal RNA (460 nucleotides) under uncultured bacterium. RNAcentral describes it as "partial 16S ribosomal RNA". It matches the Rfam family "Bacterial small subunit ribosomal RNA", at positions 338 to 795 of the family's 1533-position model. The record is from RNAcentral.